Vitis vinifera (wine grape) is the source of this 3039-nucleotide RNA transcript. It is a transcript of the gene named HVA22-like protein k, with no coding region annotated. The transcript is spliced from 3 exons. The record is from RefSeq and is a predicted model, not a curated record. NCBI's taxonomy places the organism in Eukaryota, Viridiplantae, Streptophyta, Magnoliopsida, Vitales, Vitaceae.
CAGAGCCCACUGUGGGCAGCUCUAAAACAAGAAACAUUGUUUUCUUUUUCCCGGAUUUUCUCUACAACCAAACGGAGAGUUGAUCUUCUCUGGAUAAAAAUUUGAAUAUUCAUGUGUAACUGUAAAUGAGGUCAAUCAAAGAUGGGUUUCGAUUUCACGCCCACGCCAUAAAAAACGGCAUCACAUCCACCGUCUUCACAUCAAAUCAACUCAUUCAUCUGUACUCCAAACACGGUUUUUUGGCAGAAGCCCAUAAGUUGUUCGAUGAAAUGCCUGAGCGAAAUGUUUUCACUUGGAAUGCCAUAAUUUGGGCUUAUAUAAAAACCCAGAACUUGAAACAAGCGCGGGAGCUAUUUGACUCUGCUCCAAGCAAAGAUUUGGUGACUUACAAUUCAAUGUUAUCGGGUUAUAUAAACACUGAUGGAUAUGAGACUAAUGCGCUUAAAUUAUUCAUUGAAAUGCAAUCAUUGAAUGAUGAAACUCGAAUUGAUGAGUUUUCUUUGACGAGGAUGCUUAACUUGUCCGCAAAGUUAUCCAUGGAGUCUUAUGGGAAGCAACUGCACUCAUAUAUGGUGAAAACUGCAAACAAUAUAAGUGGGUUUGCUGUGAGCUCUCUUAUUGACAUGUAUUCCAAGUGUGGGUGUUUCCGUGAAGUAUGCCAAGUGUUUGAUGGAUGUGCUGGGGUGCUUGAUUUGGUUUCAAAGAAUGCAAUGGUGGCAGCUUGUUGCAGAGAAGGUGAGUUGGAAAUGGGCGUGAAUUUAUUUUGGAGAGACCUGGAGUUGAAUGAUGUGGUGUCUUGGAACACAUUGAUUUCAGGGUAUGUUCAGAAUGGUUGUGAGGAGGAUGCACUGAAGUUGUUUGUUCAUAUGGAGGAGAAUGAAGUGAGAUGGAAUGAGCACACUAUCGCGGGUCUUUUGAGUGCUUGUGCUGGUUUAAGGAGUUUGAAGCUUGGGAAGGAAGUGCAUGGUUGGGUUUUGAAAUAUGAGUUGGGUUUCAACCCAUUCAUAAGCAGUGGCCUUGUUGAUGUCUAUUGCAAGUGUGGUAAUAUGAAGUAUGCAGAGUUAGUUUAUGCGACAAUUGGGACUGGGAAUGCCUUUUCUAUCACUUCAAUGAUUGUGGGGCAUUCCUCUCAAGGCAACAUGGGAGAAGCUCGGAGGCUUUUUGAUUCUUUAACUGAGAAGAGUUCUAUCAUCUGGACAGCUUUGUUUACUGGGUAUGUCAAAUCACAGCAAUGUGAAGCUGUGUUUGAACUUUUGAGUGAGUUCAGAGUGAAGGAAGCAAUGGUUCCAGAUGCUUUGAUCCUCAUCAGUGUACUGGGUGCAUGUGCAAUACAAGCUGCUCUUAAUCCUGGAAAGCAGAUUCAUGCUUAUGUUCUAAGAAUUGGGAUUGAACUAGAUGAGAAGUUGGUCAGUGCUAUGGUUGAUAUGUAUUCAAAAUCUGGGAAUAUAAAAUAUGCAGAAAAGAUCUUCCAAAGAGUUACUAACAGAGAUGCAGUCAUUUACAAUAUAAUGACAGCUGGGUAUGCACACCAUGGGCAUGAGAAUCAAGCUAUCCAGCAAUUUGAGGAAAUGUUGGAGAGAGGUGUUAGACCUGAUGCAGUCACCUUUGUUGCACUUCUAUCAGCUUGCCGCCAUUGUGGUUUAGUAGAACUAGGGGAGAAGUAUUUUGCUUCCAUGACAGAUUACAAUAUAUUGCCUGAAAUUGAUCACUAUGCAUGUAUGAUUGAUUUGUAUGGGAGGGCUAACCAACUAGAGAAGGCAGUAGCAUUCAUGAAAAGAAUUCCUAUAGAGCCAGAUGCUGUAAUAUUGGGGGCAUUUUUGAAUGCUUGCAGGAUAAACAGGAAUACAAAACUAGCAAGAGAGGCAGAAGAGAAGAUAUUGAGAAUUGAAGGUGAUAAUGGGGCUCGAUAUGUGCAGUUAGCUAAUGUCUAUGCUGCAGAAGGGAAAUGGGUUGAGAUGGGGAGAAUAAGGAGGAAGAUGAGAGAGAAUGAGAUCAAGAAGUUUGCUGGUUGCAGUUGGGUAUAUGUGGAAAACAGAGUUCAUAUCUUCACAUCUGGUGAUAGUUCUCACUCAAGUGCAGAGGCUAUAUAUUCUAUUUUACUCAUCUUGACUGCAGAACUAAAUGAUACUGCCCGGUAGAAAAUUAAAACCAGGAUGGUUUGUUAACAGGGUAUUCUGAAUAUCAGUUUGCUAAAUAAAAGGAUUUAGGAUACUUUCUAAACUAAGGUUCCAAGUGGAUAUCCAGUCAGGGAGGCUUGCUAUGCUAGAAGGUUGCAACUGUGGGACUGUUGUUGAUUUAUGGAGAAAGCGAGCAUUUGGAGAAGAUAAUAAUGGAAACCAGCUUGAUCAAAGACAAACAGGAGGAAUGAAAGUCAUAGCACUCAAGAGGAAACCUUAUCCUGAUCUUUUAUCACAGAGGAGAGAUGAGUAAUCAACCUUUCAUCUUCUAGUUCAAUCGGUGCAUGUAUAAUUCCAUCUCUACUAUGCUGCUUUUUCCAGAGUGAAUUUGCAAGUGUUAAGUUAUCCCACCAUGCUGAUCAUCUACAAUUCUUAUCAGCAUCAUCACCAUCACAUAGAAUGAAACAUAAUUUUGGGUGAUUAAAAUACACAAACUAGAAUGUGUGGUUUUUGUUUUUUCAUUAUGUGCAGACUACAGAUAAUCAAGAAUGGCAGGUUUCAAGGGAUAAUACAAUCGAAGAACCAGCAACAUUUGGAACAACAAAGAGAUGCGAAGUCCAAACAGGCCUUGGAUUCGAUAUGGACAAGGUUUAUGGGCCUGGAACCAGGCCCAAACCCGACGUUGAUAAGUGUUUCGAUGACAAGCUUGUUACAGAAGGAUUGAAAAAUGAUCCGACUAUAAAGCGAAAAAGGAACAAAAUUCAAAUUUUCUUGUGGACACGUACUCCUUUACAGUUGGAUAUCCUCGACUAUUGGGAACCGUACUGUAACGAGACCAUAUCCUUUUUUAUUCAAACGCGAAAUCAUCUUCUUCAAAAUGUGAAUCUGGAAUUUUAGGGUUUUCUUCGCAAAUCCCCGUUAU